UCCGUAGGUGAACCUGCGGAGGGAUCAUUACACAAAUAUGAAGGCGGGCUGGAACCUCUCGGGGUUACAGCCUUGCUGAAUUAUUCACCCUUGUCUUUUGCGUACUUCUUGUUUCCUUGGUGGGUUCGCCCACCACUAGGACAAACAUAAACCUUUUGUAAUUGCAAUCAGCGUCAGUAACAAAUUAAUAAUUACAACUUUCAACAACGGAUCUCUUGGUUCUGGCAUCGAUGAAGAACGCAGCGAAAUGCGAUAAGUAGUGUGAAUUGCAGAAUUCAGUGAAUCAUCGAAUCUUUGAACGCACAUUGCGCCCUUUGGUAUUCCAAAGGGCAUGCCUGUUCGAGCGUCAUUUGUACCCUCAAGCUUUGCUUGGUGUUGGGCGUCUUGUCUCUAGCUUUGCUGGAGACUCGCCUUAAAGUAAUUGGCAGCCGGCCUACUGGUUUCGGAGCGCAGCACAAGUCGCACUCUCUAUCAGCAAAGGUCUAGCAUCCAUUAAGCCUUUUUUUCAACUUUUGACCUCGGAUCAGGUAGGGAUACCCGCUGAACUUAAGCAUAUCAAUAGCGGAGGA
Molecule: ribosomal RNA, 569 nt
Filed under: Alternaria alternata
Lineage: Eukaryota; Fungi; Ascomycota; Dothideomycetes; Pleosporales; Pleosporaceae
Description: eukaryotic LSU rRNA
Rfam family: 5.8S ribosomal RNA (bases 196-349)
Source: RNAcentral